Labeo rohita (rohu) is the source of this 1434-nucleotide long non-coding RNA. RefSeq lists it as uncharacterized. The record is from RefSeq and is a predicted model, not a curated record. The transcript has 4 exons. Lineage: Eukaryota; Metazoa; Chordata; Actinopteri; Cypriniformes; Cyprinidae.
CUCCAACGGGACGCCCACGGACCCUUCGCAGAAUUUCUGAUGCAUAAGUAGAAGUUUUCCAAAAGUGCAGCUUCUGAGGAACAACUAACCAGACUGAAGGCGCACUAUCAAACGUCACGCCGGUGAUGGCAUGUCGGCCCAGCGCCGCCGGAGGGAAGCGACUCACUCAGUACCAGACUGUCUUUAUUUAGCUCUUAAGGACAAUGCUCCAUAGUGACUGGUCACGUGACGUUCAAGUGAUUGGCUCAAAAAGUGAGCGAAGAUGGCAAAUUUGUAUCUCAAACAUCUGGGGGGUUUUGCACCAGCCAAGCAACUGCCACUGAGAUGAACAGGAAAGCUAUGAAUGAAAAACUUUCUACAGGACCACCCAUUGGGCUCGGAGGAGAGAGAUUCCCUGCACGCCGUCUCUUUGGAAUAUUAAUGGGCUUCUCCUGGGAAAACUGCCCACAGAAUGGGCCACUCCAUCGCUGUCUCUGUUUCCGCUCAGCUGUCCUGAGGGUACGUGAGGGUGUUCGGUACAAUCCGGUCUGGAGAAACCUCAAGUACACCUCAAACUUUUGUUUUGAUGUUUCAUUAGGAGCUCUUGAGGUUGAACGUUUCUUUUUCCCCCCAGAAUGUCAGUAAAAUAUAUUACCGCUUUUAUUACACAAUAAAAAGCACAGGAACGGCUACAUUUAUUAUGUCAAAUUCCUCAGUCUCAACUUUAUAACCGUAAUCAAUAAUAAGACAUAUUGAUUGAAAUGAGGGGGCCAUUAGCACGUGGGGGAUUCGGGAACAGCUCGUUUGAGCAUUGAGAAAGGUGACAAUGAUGCCGAUCACCACUGGUUUUCAUCACCGGAGCCGCAUAGUUCUUUCCCACUCGAUGGCAGAAGCCGAGACAUCUCAUCUGUUUCACCGUUAUGAGAGUGACCAUCCUAAUGGCUUCUGCAGAUGGCAGAGCUCGCUGAAGUCAUUGCUCUUUUCCUUCAAUCCCUUUCACAUUCUUUAUCUGUAUUUGACUCUCUGUCACUUGCUUUCAGUCAUUCCUCCAUUUCCUCCGUCCCAGUCUGGGUCUCUGAGGUGAGCGGUGAGUUUUCGGCAUAUUUAUGUGAAGAAUCUAGUUUUUACCAGCCUGCCAAGCUGUGAAUAAAAUAAGAUGAAUAUCAAAUGGCAGGGAAGGGCAAUUGCAAAUGGUGUUGGAAUGACGAAAAAAAGUAGAUACAACCAUUCAAAAGUAAUAUUUGGUAUAUGUGACCCUGGAGCACAAAACCAGUCUUAAGUAGCACGGAUGUAUUUGUAACAAUAGCCAAAAAUACAUUGUAUGAGUCAAAAUUUUCGAUUUUUCUUUUAUGGCAAAAAUCAUUAGUAUAGAUUUUUGUAAAUUUCCUCCCGUAAAUAUAUCAAAUCUUAAUUCUUGAUGAGUAAUAUGCAUUGCUAAGAACUUCAUUUGGACAA